GCAAAGCCAUACUCAAUCCCAUCUCAACAUCGGCCAUGGUCAGCCAUCAACAGCGGUCUCCGCGGUGUCUCGAGUCACCACACCGGCACCAGCAGUCACACCCCCAUCCAUUGUUGCCCAUGACACAUAAAAGACGGCGACAACAGCAAUAAUUAACGAUGACGGCAGCUGAUGUGAGUUCAUCGUCAUGUAAUAUCAUCUCCUUUACCUCUUCGAUCUUUUUAUGUGUGUAGCUGUAGAUUCUGGUGGCAAACCGCGGUGGCGCUUGGGAUUGUUAGAGUAUGCGCGAUGGUAGAUUUGGUUGGUUGCAUGAAAGAUCAUGGAGGAGCAUGGUUGAAGCAGCAGCAACGACGACGACCAUCGUGACAGAAACCACAGCCACAAGUAUCAAUGAAAGCCACCAACGACAACAACAUCGUCGGCAACAGUAUCGAAAAGUAUUAGCUUGAUUUCUUAUUAAAUCACAACAAAAUGGGUUUGCUGGGCUUUUCGACAUUGACGAUGGAUCAGGCAGUUCUUGGCGUGUCGUCACCUUCUAAAAGUCUAUUCGGUAAUAAGAAAAGAACUGCGUUCUUUAAAAAAUUUAUUUUUUAAAAAAUAUUUUUUUUAUUUUUAUAUAUUAAUGUUAAAAAUAUUUUACAAAAAAUAAAAAAAAAUUAUUUUAAUGCAUUUCCUAACAAAAAAUACUUUAAACCAUAAUCGCUAUCACAAUCUCACACAUACCCUAAAUAAAUUCCAAGGUAUAUUUAGAACACUAAGUCCAUUAAUAUAUUAAUUUAAAAUUAUAAUUAAUGGUAGUUAUUUUUAAUAAUUAAUAAAUUUUAUUGAUUUAAUCAUUUAAAUUUUAAUAAUGAUACAUAAAAUUUAAAUGAUUAGCAAUAAUAUAAUUAAUAGGCUAAUAUUUAUUAUUAAAUUAAUUUAAUAUAUUUAAAUAUUUUAAAUAUAUUUGGUAAUUGAUAUUUUUAUUGAGUAUAAAUAUAAAUGGCAUGUAUUUAUGAUGGAAUGUAUACAAACAGUGAAGCACCUGCGUUUCUUACUCGAUUUUUUUACUAUAUAGUAUAAUAAUAGAAGAAAAGUAACCUGCAUAUAGACAAAUAAUUUCCAUGUCAGCAAUUUACAAGCAGAUUUCAACAAGUGUCCAACAAACAUAGGACACCACCAAGCAACCUCCCAAGUCCACAAACGCAUGCCUAUCGCAUAGUUCUUCAAGUUGAAGCCGCUGGGCUCCAAUGAAAACAUGUGCCAAUUCAUUAAAGCAAUAAAAUGGUGAGCAGAGGGUAGCCCACAGGAUGUUUCAUAAAAGAGCAGAAUCAAGAUGUAGCAGAACUCAAUGAGAGAACUGCGCAAGAUGGCAUGAUAGAAGCAUACUACUAGCCGUGUCAGCAUAUAUAUAUAUAUAUAUAUAUAUAUAUAAAAUUGAUGUUUGGACUAGCCUGUAUAUAUUUUAAUUAAUUUUACGGGUUUUAAAAUUAAUAACUAUUUAAGUUUUUAAUGACUUUAAAAAUCAAACUAAUAAUUGUUUUAAAGCAAAUUUAAAAUUUGAUCGGCUACUGAUUGGUUGGCAGGUUUUUUUCUCUUAAUUGAUGAAGUGUAACGUUUCUAGUGGUUGUUAUUGAUUUAGCUUUUAAUUCAUUGCAGGGUGUAUUGUACUGGAUCUUCUGUAGUAGUGUAAUAGUUGGGCACUCUCCUAUUGGUCUAACUAAUGACCAUUUUAAGGAGCAAUAGUUUCCAAGAAAG
Molecule: long non-coding RNA, 1737 nt
Filed under: Populus tremula
Lineage: Eukaryota; Viridiplantae; Streptophyta; Magnoliopsida; Malpighiales; Salicaceae
Description: long non-coding RNA (PTRE_LNC001333)
Source: RNAcentral